Jaculus jaculus (lesser Egyptian jerboa) is the source of this 131-nucleotide small nucleolar RNA. The record is from Ensembl. NCBI's taxonomy places the organism in Eukaryota, Metazoa, Chordata, Mammalia, Rodentia, Dipodidae.
AAGCCAGCCAAUUAGUCUGCUUAUCUGAAUUUGUUUCUGCAGAAAUUUAGAAACAGCUGGCAACAAUGCUGCCACCUUAUGAGCCUGAAGGACAACUGAGGCCAUUAAGAUCCCUCAAAAUGGUAACCAUA